CGUGGCAUUGACGGUUAACGGGGGAUUAGGGUUCGAUUCCGGAGAGGGAGCCUGAGAAACGGCUACCACAUCUAAGGAAGGCAGCAGGCGCGCAAAUUACCCAAUUCUAACAGCAUAAGAGAGGUAGUGACAAGAAAUAACAAUACAAGGCAGUUAAAAUGCUUUGUAAUUGGAAUGAUAGAAAUUUAAACACUUUUUAAAGUAUCAAUUGGAGGGCAAGUCUGGUGCCAGCAGCCGCGGUAAUUCCAGCUCCAAUAGCGUAUAUGAAAAUUGUUGCAGUUAAAAAGCUCGUAUUUGAAUUUCUGCUAAAAAAAACCGGUCUGCUUUUAAUAAAAGUGGUAUCUUGGUGUGUUUUUAGCAAUAAUGUCUUUUGGAAUGUUUUAUUACUUUAUUGUAAUAAAUCAUAUUCAGGGUUUUUACUUUGAGAAAAUUAGAGUGUUUCUAGCAGGCUAACGCUUUGAAUACUGCAGCAUAAAAUAAUAAAAUAGGAUUUUAGUUCUACAUUAUUGGUUUUAAGAGCUAAAUUAAUAAUUAAUAGGGACAGU
Molecule: ribosomal RNA, 545 nt
Filed under: Hepatozoon sp. KCMS-2016a
Lineage: Eukaryota; Apicomplexa; Hepatozoidae
Description: bacterial SSU rRNA
Rfam family: Eukaryotic small subunit ribosomal RNA
Source: RNAcentral